This 428-nucleotide ribosomal RNA is filed under the name uncultured bacterium. RNAcentral's name for it is "bacterial SSU rRNA". It matches the Rfam family "Bacterial small subunit ribosomal RNA", at positions 28 to 454 of the family's 1533-position model. The record is from RNAcentral.
GACGAACGCUGGCGGCGUGCCUAACACAUGCAAGUCGAACGGGGUGAAGCCCUUCGGGACUUCACUUAGUGGCGAACGGGUGAGUAACGCGUGAGGAACCUGCCUUUCAGUGGGGGACAACAGUUGGAAACGACUGCUAAUACCGCAUGAUACUUUUUGAUGGCAUCAUCGAAAAGUCAAAGAUUUAUUGCUGAAAGAUGGCCUCGCGUCUGAUUAGCUAGUUGGCGGGUAACGGCCCACCAAGGCGACGAUCAGUAGCCGGUCUGAGAGGAUGAACGGCCACAUUGGGACUGAGAUACGGCCCAGACUCCUACGGGAGGCAGCAGUGGGGAAUAUUGGGCAAUGGGCGAAAGCCUGACCCAGCAACGCCGCGUGAAGGAAGAAGGCCUCGGGUUGGUAAACUUACUUUUACCUAGGUACGAAGGACG